AACUGAGGCUCCAAGAAGCAAAAUGGCUUGCCCUCAGUCACACAGAAUCAGGACAGUGGUUGAAGUGGAAUUCAGGACCUCUGACCUUAUGAGGUGCUUGGCCUCACAGGGUCACACCACCUUUCUGCUCAUGCCUUACCUGGAUUGUAGGCAUGGCCUUCCAGGGUGUUCCCUUUUGUUCUGAGUGUAAUGUGUGUGUACACACAUGUCUGGAACAUCGGAUUUCAGGGUACUCGCGUUCUGCUCUACCACUUGUUCCCAGGCCAGCUGGACACCAGCCAGCACGCGAAGCAGUCCUAAAACACACCUUCACAAAACUGGGCUGCUCUUACACUCUGGCUCUGGUCCUGCCCUCUAGGCCCAGACUCUUGUCCCCAGCUUGUCUGCCUCCAUUUCCAGUCCUUCCAUACUGCCAGAGUGACCUCCCUAAAGUGACUCUUGUCUUUUGCAUGCAAAAUAAAGUCUAAAUGCCUCA
This is a long non-coding RNA of Marmota flaviventris (yellow-bellied marmot), 475 nucleotides long. RefSeq lists it as uncharacterized. Lineage: Eukaryota; Metazoa; Chordata; Mammalia; Rodentia; Sciuridae. The record is from RefSeq and is a predicted model, not a curated record.